UAGGGAAUCUUCCACAAUGGACGCAAGUCUGAUGGAGCAACGCCGCGUGAGUGAAGAAGGUUUUCGGAUCGUAAAGCUCUGUUGUUGGUGAAGAAGGAUAGAGGAAGUAACUGGCCUUUAUUUGACGGUAAUCAACCAGAAAGUCACGGCUAACUACGUGCCAGCAGCCGCGGUAAUACGUAGGUGGCAAGCGUUGUCCGGAUUUAUUGGGCGUAAAGCGAGCGCAGGCGGAAGAAUAAGUCUGAUGUGAAAGCCCUCGGCUUAACCGAGGAACUGCAUCGGAAACUGUUUUUCUUGAGUGCAGAAGAGGAGAGUGGAAUUCCAUGUGUAGCGGUGGAAUGCGUAGAUAUAUCGAAGAACACCAGUGGCGAAGGCGACUCUCUGGUCUGCAACUGACGCUGAGGCUCGAAAGCAUGGGUAGCGAACAG
This 428-nucleotide ribosomal RNA is filed under the name bacterium. Its description in RNAcentral is "partial 16S ribosomal RNA". It matches the Rfam family "Bacterial small subunit ribosomal RNA", at positions 355 to 775 of the family's 1533-position model. The record is from RNAcentral.